AUUGAACGCUGGCGGCAUGCUUUACACAUGCAAGUCGAACGGUAACAGGUUAAGCUGACGAGUGGCGAACGGGUGAGUAGUGCAUCGGAACGUGCCCGAUCGUGGGGGAUAACGCAGCGAAAGCUGCGCUAAUACCGCAUACGAUCUGAGGAUGAAAGCGGGGGACCGUAAGGCCUCGCGCGAUCGGAGCGGCCGAUGUCAGAUUAGGUAGUUGGUGGGGUAAAGGCCCACCAAGCCGACGAUCUGUAGCUGGUCUGAGAGGACGACCAGCCAGACUGGGACUGAGACACGGCCCAGACUCCUACGGGAGGCAGCAGUGGGGAAUUUUGGACAAUGGGCGAAAGCCUGAUCCAGCAAUGCCGCGUGCAGGAAGAAGGCCUUCGGGUUGUAAACUGCUUUUGUACGGAGCGAAAAGGUCCUUUCUAAUACAAGGGGCUCAUGACGGUACCGUAAGAAUAAGCACCGGCUAACUACGUGCCAGCCGCCGCCGUAA
RNAcentral lists this ribosomal RNA (493 nucleotides) under uncultured bacterium. Its description in RNAcentral is "partial 16S ribosomal RNA". It matches the Rfam family "Bacterial small subunit ribosomal RNA", at positions 29 to 523 of the family's 1533-position model. The record is from RNAcentral.